This 253-nucleotide ribosomal RNA is filed under the name uncultured bacterium. RNAcentral describes it as "partial 16S ribosomal RNA". It matches the Rfam family "Bacterial small subunit ribosomal RNA", at positions 524 to 776 of the family's 1533-position model. The record is from RNAcentral.
UACAGAGGGGGCAAGCGUUGUCCGGAAUUAUUGGGCGUAAAGAGCUCGUAGGCGGUCUGUCGCGUCUGCUGUGAAAACUCGGGGCUUAACCCCGGGCCUGCAGUGGGUACGGGCAGACUAGAGUGCGGUAGGGGAGACUGGAAUUCCUGGUGUAGCGGUGAAAUGCGCAGAUAUCAGGAGGAACACCGGUGGCGAAGGCGGGUCUCUGGGCCGUAACUGACGCUGAGGAGCGAAAGCGUGGGGAGCGAACAGG